Molecule: unclassified non-coding RNA, 334 nt
Filed under: Ramicandelaber sp.
Lineage: Eukaryota; Fungi; Kickxellomycota; Ramicandelaberales; Ramicandelaberaceae
Description: partial internal transcribed spacer region
Rfam family: Eukaryotic small subunit ribosomal RNA (bases 1-46)
Source: RNAcentral
AAGUCGUAACAAGGUAUCCGUAGGUGAACCUGCGGAUGGAUCAUUACCAAUUUAUAUGUUAGUUUGCCUGUGGCUUCGGUCACUGGUAUUAACUACUAUGUAAACGUUGAACUAGAUCAAUUGGUGUGGAUUGCUUGGGAAUGGACGAAGCGAUGAGCCUCUUCCGGACAGGCAAGCCCCACACUGAUAACCUUUUUCAUAUCAUUUACUCGUAUAUACUACCACAACAACAAAAACAAAAGCUAUAAUAGGACUUAUUAACGGCUGAGUGGGUAACAUCCUCGGCUUAAACAUAUAACUAUUACAACUUUCAGCAAUGGAUCUCUAGGCUCUC